AGGAAUUAUGGUUGAGGACCAUCUCCAUUCAGCAGAGCUUCAUGGAAGAAGACGAUGCAAAUCCCCAGCAUCUUCAGGGUUGUGCUACCUUCUUGUGAGAUUGCAUUCAUUUGCUUUAUAUAGACUUUUAUUUCUGAAUAUUCAUCUAUUUUUUCCUGUUCUAUCAAAUGGAUAUCAUGAUUCAGAGGUUUAAUCUCAUUAGAUUGUAGCUAAAUCUGGCGCAAUAAUGUCGAUUCUAUGAAUCAUUCCACUCAUUAAGUACGCCUUUUACAUCCAGAACACAGCCAUUAACCAGAACCCUUGCCAUUUUUUCCCUGACAAUUGUCCGCCUGAAUCCUACGCCAACUUCUACAACGCAGAUAAAGAGGAAUAUUACGGCAGGUUGAGGAGCAAUUUAAAAUAGUCUAAUUAUGAUAAUGGAACUGAAUAGAAUGGAAUUGGUACAGAGAAUUCAUGUAGUUGACCUAACUAAUUUGGGAUUGAGGCGUAGUUGAUUUACUUAUAGUUUUCUCUUUAGUUAUUGAUCUCUGCUGAACCUCUCACUUGUCGCUGUGAUGGAUCAGCUGAAAGCUUUGGUUCUUGGCUGUUGAUGUUUAUUUUGAAAUUUAGCUCUCAAAAUCCUUGUCAUAUGCAUCAACCAGAAAGGUUCUCAAAUGGCCUUUUGUACAAGGAGCUUGUGUACUUCCUUAGCACCCCCGAUUUGGAAGAAAGAAGAUCCUCCUUUGCUUCCAUGGACGUGUAUUCGAUGAGGUGGUCUACAAAUUCUUUACCAUCCUAACUGUGAUUAGCAUGCUUGGAGGACUAAUAGAUCAGGUA
This is a long non-coding RNA of Solanum stenotomum, 816 nucleotides long. RefSeq lists it as uncharacterized. NCBI's taxonomy places the organism in Eukaryota, Viridiplantae, Streptophyta, Magnoliopsida, Solanales, Solanaceae. The record is from RefSeq and is a predicted model, not a curated record. The transcript is spliced from 3 exons.